This is a long non-coding RNA of Oncorhynchus keta (chum salmon), 396 nucleotides long. RefSeq lists it as uncharacterized. The record is from RefSeq and is a predicted model, not a curated record. Lineage: Eukaryota; Metazoa; Chordata; Actinopteri; Salmoniformes; Salmonidae. The transcript is spliced from 3 exons.
CGCCCGCAGCGUUUUGAUAGCCCAUGGAACAAAGAAAUAUGGUCCAGUAUGAGCAGUGGAACAGCUGAGUCUGAGUUGAAGUCGUAUUUGAAGUUGAAAUCGAGCUUUGGAGAUGGCCAACACGAUAAGGCGGAUCUGCCUGAAUUUGGAGAUAAUUUUCAGGGAGCGGAGGAUACGGAACUUCUUUAGGAGUGCCACAAUCUCCAGGUCGUCAGUGUCCACCCCUUUGAAGACCUUCACGAUCUCUGGUAUAACAGACUGGGGGAGGAGAGAGCAUGGUGACAGCAAAAUCAAAGAUGUUCCAGGUGCUUUUCCAGAAGUUCCAGAAGUUGUCCAACCACUUCAAUACGAUCUCCAGGAAGAAGAUGGCCAGGAUGCUCCAGUCCAACAUUUCCA